GCUUUCUGCUAUAGCGGCAGAAGCAGAUGAAGACAUCGCAGAAGGAAGGUAAGAGGAGAGGUCUGUUGCUGCUGCUGUGAGUUUCUUGGUUUGGUGGGGGUAGGACUUUUAAAGAAACAAAAGGAGAACAUGGACUGGACGAAUGUGUUACCGAUUUAACCAGCAUCUGACUCGGGGUGUGGCUGGCCACAGGAAACUGGCCAAGUAAGAACUAAGGGGAAAGAGGGGCUGUCAAAGCCAGAGUCCUUGGUAGAGGAUACUUGGAGGACCAGGACAGAGGACACAACCAAGAGUGAGAGGACAGAUUCUUCACUGGCUUUGAGACCCCAGAAAUCCACCAACAGCUCUAACCCUCCAGAACAUGAGCGCUUAUGGUCUCUGCCGGACCUGUUGGCUCGGACAUCCCGCACCCAAGAGUCUGUGAGCUGCAGUCUUUGACACAGAGAAGAAGAGGACCAAGUCUUGGGUCAUCUUUUGCUGUCCCUCUGUGACAGUGACAAAGCAGUCCCCACAGGGCAGGGUCUGUUGCCUUUAUUUACAUGUCUGUGUUAGAGAAAGAUAUCUCCCUGUCUUUGGGACUUUUUUUGUGUGUAUUUUUCUCAAAUGGGAAAUAACAUUGUAUAUUUAAGGAAAUUCUGAAGUAGCAAUAAUGCAUCCAUAAGAAAAUUGACAAAUACCCAAAAGAAACAAUAAAACCCAUAUAUGAUACUGCCAGAGGAAACUAC
Molecule: long non-coding RNA, 725 nt
Filed under: Fukomys damarensis (Damara mole-rat)
Lineage: Eukaryota; Metazoa; Chordata; Mammalia; Rodentia; Bathyergidae
Description: lncRNA (ENSFDAG00000029045.1)
Source: RNAcentral